RNAcentral lists this ribosomal RNA (458 nucleotides) under uncultured bacterium. RNAcentral's name for it is "partial 16S ribosomal RNA". It matches the Rfam family "Bacterial small subunit ribosomal RNA", at positions 338 to 795 of the family's 1533-position model. The record is from RNAcentral.
CCUACGGGUGGCAGCAGUGAGGCAUAUUGGUCAAUGGGCGAGAGCCUGAACCAGCCAAGUCGCGUGAGGGAGUACUGCCCUAUGGGUUGUAAACCUCUUUUGUCGGGGAGCAAAAGCCGGACGUGUCCGGCUGUGAGAGUACCCGAAGCAAAAGCAUCGGCUAACUCCGUGCCAUCCGCCGCGGUAAUACGGAGAAUGCGAGCGUUAUCCGGAUGUAUUGGGUUUAAAGGGUGCGCAGGCGGCUUUUUAAGUCAGCGGUCAAAGCGUGGGGCUCAAACCCAUCCAGCCGUUGAAGCUGGGGAUCUAGAGUGUGCGAGAGGUAUGCGGAAUGCGUGGUGUAGCGGUGAAAUGCAUAGAUAGCACGCAGAACCCCGAUUGCGAAGGCAGCAUACCGGUGCACAACUGACGCUCAGGCACGAAAGCGUGGGUAUCGAACAGGAUUAGAUACCCGGGUAGUC